GGGCGAGUUGGCGAGGGCCUGCGGGAGGCGCCGGCAGAGGCAGUUGCUGGGGCUGUCGCUGCCGCCCUUCGCCCGGCUCAUAGCGCUCCCCGCGCGAGGGGCGCGCCAACCCCCCGGCCACCUCCCUCCCCACUCCUCAAGGGAGCCAUAGCGCCCGGGGCUGCCAACUCCAGCGCCGCACAGAGUCCCAACCUGUGGCGAUCGCCGGGUCCCGAGAGGAGCCGGAGGAAAAGAAUUUGUUCCCCACGUGCGAGUACCCCAGACAGGCGGCCGCUCAGCCCCAGCCCCUAUCUGUCACAGGAGCAGGAGUCAGCUCCGCCGCGGCCAAGUACAAACGGCCGCGGGGUUGCUGACAGCUCUGCCCGCAAGGCGUCUUUUAAAAAGGAAGAGGGAGGAGGAGACAAUGAGGGUUAAGAAAGAGUCCGCCCUCCCGGAUCGCGCCUCUGGAGCUAAUCACAGCGGGUGCGGCGCGGGCCGAGGGUCCUCUGCGCUUUCUGGUUCGCGCUCCAUCCUCCGCCUCCCCCCGGCCACCCCCGCCCAUGCCGCUCCCCCAGGACUUGACUCUCAACCUGAAGAUAUCAGACCCUCCCCUCCCCCGCCGCACACCCCAACUCUCUCACAGCCCGGAAAUCUCUGCAGAGUGACGUUGAGGGCUGCCGAAUUCCCGCGUUUAUCCACGCACGUGGGCGCGCGAGUGGAGACGCUGGAUUUACUUUUCAAUGGAUAUAAUGCAUGAAUGCGGUGCAGUCAUUGAAGUUUGUCGAAUCAUCUGUGCCCUGUUGCACAGACUCAGACUCGUUCCUGGGAUACCGCUUCUAAAGGUUCAGGACCGAGAACAUGGUUUUUAGGUGUCGCCAACAUGUGCUGAGCUUUCCACCUACGUUUCCACUUUUUCUGGGAGGAACGGCACAUUUUCACAAGCACACACACACACACACUCGCACUUUUUCCGCCGGCUGAAGGAUUGCCGGUCACCUCUGCCAGCCAAGGCCAGCUCGCAAAACCUCAAAGAGCACGACUUCUCCGUUCACGCCCGCAAAGGAAAUAAAGGAGCAAAAUUAAUGAUAAUUGAGCAGAACUGAACUUCUGUUCAGGGAAAGAAACACAUUUAUUUAAAUGAUGUGUCCCCUGUGGGCUAUUUUCAGGGGCACUGCUCCGUUAGCGGCCUAAGUGCCUUAUGAAACUGGUGUUAUGUGAAACCUGGGCCAAACGCAAGCAUUUAUUUUGACUGCAUCCUGAACUUCCAAUCAUCGUCUAUUGGUAUGUGUGAAUAUGUUCGGUGUAUCUCGGCUUAUUUGUCAAACAAGCUGCAUACCCGUGUCCCUGAGUUAGAUGUCGGCAAGUUGAGUGAAACAAAAGGAACAAAGUGUUCUCAGCUCCAGCGACACAAGGUGCGCGGUCAAACGCAUUUAUCACGUUCGCAGCUUCCUGAUGAACCGAGUCGAUUCCGGAGAAACUUUUUUAAAAAUCUCCUAUUAAAACGAUUUCUUUUUUUU
This 1496-nucleotide long non-coding RNA is filed under the name Homo sapiens (human). Its description in RNAcentral is "HSALNT0071712". The record is from RNAcentral. Lineage: Eukaryota; Metazoa; Chordata; Mammalia; Primates; Hominidae.